GUAGCUGCUACCCAGCUAGCUAGAGAAUAGAGAAUGAGAUUUUAUUUACAAGUUUAACAAUGUUCUGUGUUCAGUUGUUCACGCACGAAUGGGAGAAGCUGUGGAAAGCCCAAGAGGGUUCCUGCAGGGUCUGAUUAUGUUUCGGUCUUUUACAGUUUAAUUAUCUGCGGGUUUUUUCGUGCAAAUCUUUACUUUUAUUGAGACGGACGAUUAGAUACACAAACAAUCACGAUCCGUUCGAGCGUUGGUGAGACAACCGCUUUGAUCGUUUUGGAUUUGAGGGUCGAUUUAAUUUUCUAUCGAUAUUUUAUCAUUUGGCUAAUUAGCAGAUUAGUGUCGUCUGCUUUCGUUUUGUUUACAAGUUAUUUACGAAAAAGAGAAUAAGUUCCAGAUUACAAAGUCAAAACGAACACUUUGUGCACGAGAAAUUAGCAGAACAAGUAAAAUUACAAAAAUGUGGUCGUCGCGUGAACUUUGUGGUGUCACCAUGCUCUCCACUCUGUUCUCAGAUUGGAGGCCUGAGCCAGCCAUAUUGGCAACACGAUAUGCAAGUUUUGCUUUUGCUGCUAUCUGAUCUAUGUCAUCAGCAGCAAUCUCAGUUUCAUCGCUUGGGCAAACAGCAUCCCAUCUAAUUGGUGACAUUCUUCCCAUAUGAGUGUGGGUUCACGACGAGUCUGAGGCCCCUUUUUCCCACCUGCUGGUGGAUUCAACACUUAACUGCGGAUGGAUGGAGCACUUGUGGAUGCCUGGCCAGGCUUAAAAGGUAGGACAAAUGUAAAUUUAUUCUUUCCUAUUUGACUAUGUGGUGGUUGCUUUGAUUAUAAAUCGUUACAUAGUAUAUACGCGGGUUAACGAUUGAGACUAGAACAUUUUAUGACCAUGAGGGACCUGGUGCCGCCACACCGGCACCUCCUCGUUACGCUAGUCCCGCGGGAUAAUUUGAAUGAGAGAGAAUUUCUUUGUUUUUUUUGUUUGUGGUUCUCCAUUCACGAAUGUUUGGACGACUCGAUAACAAUUUGAAUUCGAGAAUGCCGGCGGGUAACAACAGCCCCGUCCCUUCGGUAAUGAUCCGUCAUCACCCAGAGCCUUAUGAGAUAAUAAAUCGUAUAAUCGAAUCAGAGAAAAUAUGCACAGCUGGUGCCCUCGGGCGCCAAUCUAAAAGACUGGCCGGAUCGACACACUAAUACAUAACCAUUCACGUCAUUCGUAACACGAUCAUCUGCGAUAUGCAACACGACUUAAUUGUUACGAAACGCAUUCGUGAUGAAUUAUUUCAACCUAAAAAUAAGAAUUAAAAGAAAAACAAAAAUGUUUCUUUUUUCUCUUUCGGGAGUGGCUGAAUAGAACAGCAGGUGCCGUGAUGGAAUUCAAUAGGAAAAAAGGAGACGAUUAUUUCUCACUCUACCGUACACUGUACACGUUAUUAAAAUGUUACGCCAUUUUGAUUUAAAAAAGAAGAAUGUUUUAAUGGGGUGUCUAUCACAUGUAUAUACGGUCGUGACUGACCACCCGCGAAUCUAAUCUUUUUCAUCAGCUGGGGAAAAUCAUGUCAUCAUCUUCCAACAGCAACGGUGGGGGCAAAGGUUUUUUUAAUAAUAGAAUUAUUCACGCAACCAUCACUUGGGCUUCAAGAUCAUUACCUAUUCGCCCGAGGGCAUUGUAGAUUUUUUUAUUUCGAAUUCUUCACGGCCUUCAUCUUUUUUAAAUUAUAAUUUUAAAAAAUAAAAUUGUUACACAUUUUCUGAAUGCGAAAAAUUUUUUUCGAUAUUUUUAUUUUUUUUUGGGGACUGGCAUUGUUUCAUCCAUUUUCAUUCGUGUCAGUUAUUAGAAGAAACAGAAAAGAUCAGGCAGAGGGGGCAAAACUAAAAAUCCUUAAUUUUUUGGCAAUCUCCAUCUGUACAACCGAGUUUUGAUCGAUGGUUUUCCAUUUCUUUUUUCUUCUUCUCUCUGAAAUAAAAUUCGGCCCCUCCCACUCGGUUGGGUGCGAAUACAGCACGCCAAAAAAACAUCAUCCGUCAUCUGCCUUUUUCUAAUACUUUGGCUGGACACUGUGAGCUGUGUGCUGGCCGCCCCCCUCAUGUUGGCAGUCCCAUUUGGACGGAAUUUGUUACAACAGCAAAUGCUGCUCUUUUUAUUAUUAUAGGAAGGAAAACUUAUCUCGUAAAUGAUAAUGCGGAGAAAAUAAAACAAACAAAAAUUCGUUUCCGUUUUAUUUUUUCGUGAAAGUAUAAAACAAUCGAAAAAUAAAACAUUUUCGGAUGGCGCCAAAAGUAUUU
RNAcentral lists this long non-coding RNA (2276 nucleotides) under Daphnia pulex (common water flea). RNAcentral's name for it is "uncharacterized LOC124203849". Lineage: Eukaryota; Metazoa; Arthropoda; Branchiopoda; Diplostraca; Daphniidae. The record is from RNAcentral.